AUGUUCAUAACCCUUUGUUGUCCGACUCUGUUGCCUCCGGGGCGACCCUGCCUUCGGGCGGGGGCUCCGGGUGGACACUUCAAACUCUUGCGUAACUUUGCAGUCUGAGUAAACUUAAUUAAUAAAUUAAAACUUUUAACAACGGAUCUCUUGGUUCUGGCAUCGAUGAAGAACGCAGCGAAAUGCGAUAAGUAAUGUGAAUUGCAGAAUUCAGUGAAUCAUCGAAUCUUUGAACGCACAUUGCGCCCCCUGGUAUUCCGGGGGGCAUGCCUGUUCGAGCGUCAUUUCACCACUCAAGCCUCGCUUGGUAUUGGGCAACGCGGUCCGCCGCGUGCCUCAAAUCGACCGGCUGGGUCUUCUGUCCCCUAAGCGUUGUGGAAACUAUUCGCUAAAGGGUGUUCGGGAGGCUACGCCGUAAAACAACCCCAUUUCUAAGGUUGACCUCGGAUCAGGUAGGGAUACCCGCUGAACUUAAGCAUAUCAAUAAGUCGGAGGAAA
Molecule: ribosomal RNA, 498 nt
Filed under: Cladosporium cladosporioides
Lineage: Eukaryota; Fungi; Ascomycota; Dothideomycetes; Cladosporiales; Cladosporiaceae
Description: eukaryotic LSU rRNA
Rfam family: 5.8S ribosomal RNA (bases 131-284)
Source: RNAcentral